RNAcentral lists this ribosomal RNA (299 nucleotides) under Theileria velifera. RNAcentral describes it as "partial small subunit ribosomal RNA". It matches the Rfam family "Eukaryotic small subunit ribosomal RNA", at positions 618 to 952 of the family's 1831-position model. Lineage: Eukaryota; Apicomplexa; Aconoidasida; Piroplasmida; Theileriidae. The record is from RNAcentral.
GUUAAAAAGCUCGUAGUUGAAUUUCUGCUACAUUGCCUAUUCUCCUUUACGAGUUUGGGUCUUUUGUGGCUUAUCUGGGUUCGCUUGCGUUCCCGGUGUUUUACUUUGAGAAAAUUAGAGUGCUCAAAGCAGGCUUUUGCCUUGAAUAGUUUAGCAUGGAAUAAUAAAGUAGGACUUUGGUUCUAUUUUGUUGGUUUUAGGUACCAAAGUAAUGGUUAAUAGGAACAGUUGGGGGCAUUCGUAUUUAACUGUCAGAGGUGAAAUUCUUAGAUUUGUUAAAGACAAACUACUGCGAAAGA